RNAcentral lists this ribosomal RNA (474 nucleotides) under uncultured prokaryote. RNAcentral describes it as "bacterial SSU rRNA". The stretch from base 81 to 474 matches the Rfam family "Bacterial small subunit ribosomal RNA", at positions 1 to 905 of the family's 1533-position model. The record is from RNAcentral.
UGUCAUGCUCUACUCUCUUGAGUGGCACAACUAACGCAUUAACUUAUCCGCCUGGGGACUACGGUCGCAAUAUUAAAACUCAAAGGAAUUGACGGAACCUCAAAGUAAUCCACAUAUAUUGGUACGUAAUGUGCGCCGUACUUGGUCUUACAUACUCGCAUGUGAAAUCUCCCGGCUCAACUGGGAGGGGUCAUCUGAUACUGUUGGACUUGAGUGCAUCAGGGAAAAAUGGAAUUCCCUGUGUAAUGGUGAAAUGCGUAUAUAUCUGUAGGAACACCAUACGCAAAUGUGAUUUUCCACGCCGAAACUGACACUGAGGCCCGAAAGCGUGGGGAGCGAACAGGAUUAAAUACCCUGGUAGUCCACGCCCUAAACUAUGGGUACUAUGUAUAGGGAGUAUCAACCCUUCCUGUGCCGAAGCUAACGCUUCCCUUACCCCGCCUGGGGAGUACGGUCGCUACACUAAAACUCAAA